AACACAUGCAAGUCGAACGGAAAGGCCCUGCUUGCAGGGUACUCGAGUGGCGAACGGGUGAGUAACACGUGGGUGAUCUGCCCUGCACUUCGGGAUAAGCUUGGGAAACUGGGUCUAAUACCGGAUAGGAACCAUCUUUAGUGUGGUGGUUGGAAAGUUUUUUCGGUGUAGGAUGAGCUCGCGGCCUAUCAGCUUGUUGGUGGGGUAAUGGCCUACCAAGGCGGCGACGGGUAGCCGGCCUGAGAGGGUGUACGGCCACAUUGGGACUGAGAUACGGCCCAGACUCCUACGGGAGGCAGCAGUGGGGAAUAUUGCACAAUGGGCGCAAGCCUGAUGCAGCGACGCCGCGCGGGGGAUGAAGGCCUUCGGGUUGUAAACUCCUUUCGCUAGGGACGAAGCUUUUUGUGACGGUACCUAGAUAAGAAGCACCGGCUAACUACGUGCCAGCAGCCGCGGUAAUACGUAGGGUGCGAGCGUUGUCCGGAAUUACUGGGCGUAAAAGGCUCGUAGGUGGUUUGUCGCGUCGUCUGUGAAAUUCUGGGGCUUAACUCCGGGCGUGCAGGCGAUACGGGCAUAACUUGAGUGCUGUAGGGGUAACUGGAAUUCCUGGUGUAGCGGUGAAAUGCGCAGAUAUCAGGAGGAACACCGAUGGCGAAGGCAGGUUACUGGGCAGUUACUGACGCUGAGGAGCGAAAGCAUGGGUAGCGAACAGGAUUA
Molecule: ribosomal RNA, 717 nt
Filed under: uncultured Actinomycetales bacterium
Lineage: Bacteria; Bacillati; Actinomycetota; Actinomycetes; Actinomycetales
Description: bacterial SSU rRNA
Rfam family: Bacterial small subunit ribosomal RNA
Source: RNAcentral